GACGAACGCUGGCGGCGUGCUUAACACAUGCAAGUCGAACGCUGAAGCUUGGUGCUUGCACUGGGUGGAUGAGUGGCGAACGGGUGAGUAAUACGUGAGUAACCUGCCCUUGACUCUGGGAUAAGCCUGGGAAACUGGGUCUAAUACUGGAUACGACAUGUCACCGCAUGGUGGUGUGUGGAAAGGGUUUUACUGGUUUUGGAUGGGCUCACGGCCUAUCAGCUUGUUGGUGGGGUAAUGGCUCACCAAGGCGACGACGGGUAGCCGGCCUGAGAGGGUGACCGGCCACACUGGGACUGAGACACGGCCCAGACUCCUACGGGAGGCAGCAGUGGGGAAUAUUGCACAAUGGGCGGAAGCCUGAUGCAGCGACGCCGCGUGAGGGAUGACGGCCUUCGGGUUGUAAACCUCUUUCAGCACGGAAGAAGCGAAAGUGACGGUACGUGGAGAAGAAGCGCCGGCUAACUACGUG
This 472-nucleotide ribosomal RNA is filed under the name uncultured bacterium. RNAcentral's name for it is "partial 16S ribosomal RNA". It matches the Rfam family "Bacterial small subunit ribosomal RNA", at positions 28 to 507 of the family's 1533-position model. The record is from RNAcentral.